This 589-nucleotide ribosomal RNA is filed under the name uncultured archaeon. Its description in RNAcentral is "bacterial SSU rRNA". It matches the Rfam family "Archaeal small subunit ribosomal RNA", at positions 289 to 877 of the family's 1478-position model. The record is from RNAcentral.
CCCCGGACCGGGUUCUGAGACACUAACCCGGGCCCUACGGGGCGCAGCAGGUGCGAAACCUCCACAAUGUACGAAAGUGCGAUGGGGGAAUCCUAAGUGCUGGCGCAAUGCGUCAGCUUUUCUCGAGUCUAAAUCGCUUGAGGAAUAAGUGGUGGGUAAGACCGCUGCCAGCCGCCGCGGUAAUAGCGGCGCCACAAGUGGCAUCCAUUUAUAUUGGGUUUAAAGCAUCCGUAGCCGGCCUGAUAAGUCUACUGUGAAAUCCUAUAGAAAACUAUAGGGCGUGCGGUAGAAACUAUUACGGCUUGGGACCAGGAGAGGUCAGAGGUACUCCUAGGGUAGCGGUAAAAUGCUGUAAUCCUAGGGGGACCACCUGUGGCGAAGGCGUCUGACUGGAAUGGAUCCGACGGUGAGGGAUGAAAGCUAGGGGAGCGACCCGGAUUAGAUACCCGGUUAGUCCUAGCUGUAAACGAUGCUCACUUGGUAUUGGAAAUCUUUCGUGGAUUUCCAGUGCCGAAGGGAAACCGUUAAGUGAGCCACCUGGGGAGUACGGUCGCAAGGCUGAAACUUAAAGGAANUUGGGCGGGGGAGC